CCUACGGGGGACAGCAGUGGGGAAUAUUGCACAAUGGGGGGAACCCUGAUGCAGCAACGCCGCGUGGGUUAAGAAGUACUUCGGUAUGUAAAGCCCUGUCAGCAGGGAAGAAAAUGACGGUACCUGACCACGAAGCCCCGGCUAACUACGUGCCAGCAGCCGCGGUAAUACGUAGGGGGCAAGCGUGAUCCGGAUUUACUGGGUGUAAAGGGAGCGUAGACGGCAAGGCAAGUCUGGAGUGAAAGUCCGUGGCUCAACCACGGGACUGCUUUGGACACUGUGUUGCUGGAGUGCAGGAGGGGUAAGCUGAGUGCAUAGUGUAGCGGGGAAAGGAGUAGAGAUUAGGAGGGA
RNAcentral lists this ribosomal RNA (351 nucleotides) under uncultured bacterium. Its description in RNAcentral is "partial 16S ribosomal RNA". It matches the Rfam family "Bacterial small subunit ribosomal RNA", at positions 338 to 706 of the family's 1533-position model. The record is from RNAcentral.